Acanthosepion pharaonis is the source of this 94-nucleotide non-coding RNA. Lineage: Eukaryota; Metazoa; Mollusca; Cephalopoda; Sepiida; Sepiidae. The record is from the annotation of a GenBank genome assembly.
AUAUCACGAAUUUUCGUACGAUCACCAAAGUUAAGCAACGUCGAGCUUGGCCAGUACCUAGAUGGGUAACCGCUUGGGAAUGCCAGGCGCGGUA